UUCCUCAUUUAUCCUAUCCAAACUCAAAGCUAUGUAGGAUUGGGCCAGAUUAUACUUGGAUGAGACAUCUGAGAAUUCAGGUGCUGUAGGUU
This 92-nucleotide ribosomal RNA is filed under the name Salvator merianae (Argentine black and white tegu). The record is from RNAcentral. Lineage: Eukaryota; Metazoa; Chordata; Lepidosauria; Squamata; Teiidae.